AAGAAGAGAGUGAAAGUGAAAGUGAGCAAAGUAUGGAUUCUGAGGAGCCGGACAGCCGGGGAGGCUCCCCUCAGAUGGAUGACAUCAAAGUGUUCCAGAAUGAAGUUUUAGGAACACUACAGCGGGGCAAAGAGGAGAACAUUUCUUGUGACAAUCUGGUCCUGGAAAUCAACUCUCUCAAGUAUGCGUAUAACAUAAGUCUAAAGGAGGUGAUGCAGGUACUGAGCCACGUGGUCCUGGAGUUCCCCCUGCAACAGAUGGAUUUCCCGCUUGACUCAAGCCGCUACUGUGCCCUGCUGCUUCCUGUGAGCAAAGAUUGGAGCUGAGUACAAGGGUUUGGGUACAGGCAAAGGAAAUCAGGAGUAGACUGUCUUGUUGUAUUGGGUGUAUGUCACUUCUGGUUCCUUUCUCCUUGCCUCUGGAAGCUGGCUGGGCUCUAGAGCAGCCUU
This 449-nucleotide small RNA is filed under the name Pongo abelii (Sumatran orangutan). RNAcentral describes it as "retained intron". The record is from RNAcentral. Lineage: Eukaryota; Metazoa; Chordata; Mammalia; Primates; Hominidae.